UAGACAGAUUAUUGUAUUUGGCUGUAUUCACGAUAUGUAUUUGUGAAUACAGUAACUCAAAUAGCACAAUUCAUGGUCUAUUCAGCUGUUUUAAACGGAAAGUGGAUCAAUUAACAUAAUAGACUCCU
Molecule: microRNA precursor, 128 nt
Filed under: Nicotiana attenuata
Lineage: Eukaryota; Viridiplantae; Streptophyta; Magnoliopsida; Solanales; Solanaceae
Description: MIR6152 microRNA precursor family
Rfam family: MIR6152 microRNA precursor family
Source: Rfam by way of RNAcentral